UGCGGGAUGCCGAAGUCGGGUUCCGCGGUUAACCACUCGCUGAAUUUCAGGAGAUUUAAAUCAUGAGC
Molecule: small RNA, 68 nt
Filed under: Pseudomonas sp. 8BK
Lineage: Bacteria; Pseudomonadati; Pseudomonadota; Gammaproteobacteria; Pseudomonadales; Pseudomonadaceae
Description: ROSE_3
Rfam family: Repression of heat shock gene expression (ROSE) element
Source: RNAcentral